Zea mays is the source of this 214-nucleotide long non-coding RNA. RefSeq lists it as uncharacterized. Lineage: Eukaryota; Viridiplantae; Streptophyta; Magnoliopsida; Poales; Poaceae. The record is from RefSeq and is a predicted model, not a curated record. The transcript has 2 exons.
AGGACUAGGAGGCUAUCCACAUUCUGUGAGAUGAGCUGAGUCGAGUGCAGAGAGGGAUGAGCAGCUUUGCAACAUAUGCUAGAAGCAUGCAUGGAGAUGCAGAUAGAGAUGCAUCGAUCCAUUAGGCAAGAAGUGUCUGCCGCUCUUAAUCGGUCUCUAACCAUGCGAGAUGAAGAAACAUUAGAGGAUGGAUCACAGUGGAAGCUAGCAAGUG